AGCGAACGCUGGCGCCAGGCCUAACACAUGCAAGUCGAACGAACCUUUCGGGGUUAGUGGCGGACGGGUGAGUAACACGUGGGAACGUGCCUUUAGGUUCGGAAUAACUCAGGGAAACUUGUGCUAAUACCGAAUGUGCCCUUCGGGGGAAAGAUUAAUCGCCUUUAGAGCGGCCCGCGUCUGAUUAGCUAGUUGGUUGAGGUAAUGGCUCACCAAGGCGACGAUCAGUAGCUGGUCUGAGAGGAUGAUCAGCCACAUUGGGACUGAGACACGGCCCAAACUCCUACGGGAGGCAGCAGUGGGGAAUCUUGCGCAAUGGGCGAAAGCCUGACGCAGCCAUGCCGCGUGAAUGAUGAAGGUCUUAGGAUUGUAAAAUUCUUUCACCGGGGACGAUAAUGACGGUACCCGGAGAAGAAGCCCCGGCUAACUUCGUG
This 434-nucleotide ribosomal RNA is filed under the name uncultured bacterium. RNAcentral describes it as "partial 16S ribosomal RNA". It matches the Rfam family "Bacterial small subunit ribosomal RNA", at positions 29 to 507 of the family's 1533-position model. The record is from RNAcentral.